CUCAACAAACCAUAAGGACAUUGGUACUUUAUACUUCAUAUUUGGAGCAUGAGCAGGAAUAGUAGGAACAUCAAUAAGAAUACUUAUUCGUGCUGAACUUGGCCAACCCGGAUCUCUAAUUGGGGAUGACCAGAUUUAUAAUGUUAUUAUUACAGCUCACGCAUUCGUAAUAAUUUUCUUUAUAGUAAUACCUAUUUUAAUUGGUGGAUUUGGUAAUUGACUUGUUCCACUAAUAAUUGGUGCACCAGAUAUAGCAUUUCCACGAAUAAAUAAUAUAAGUUUUUGAUUACUACCACCUUCACUAACCCUUCUUCUUACAUCUUCUAUAGUAGAUAAUGGUGCUGGUACAGGAUGAACAGUUUACCCUCCUCUAGCAGGAGCUAUUGCACACGGGGGUGCAUCUGUAGAUCUAGCUAUUUUUUCACUGCACUUAGCAGGUGUAUCAUCUAUUCUUGGUGCAGUGAAUUUCAUUACAACAGCAAUUAAUAUACGAUCAGAAAGUAUAACUUUAGAUCAAACACCUUUAUUUGUAUGAUCUGUAGCUAUUACAGCAUUACUUCUCCUUCUUUCACUUCCAGUUUUAGCAGGAGCUAUUACUAUAUUAUUAACAGAUCGAAAUUUAAAUACAUCAUUCUUUGACCCUGCAGGAGGGGGUGACCCAAUUCUAUAUCAACAUCUAUUUUGAUUCUUUGGACACCCAGAAGUUUAUAUUUUAAUUCUACCGGGGUUCGGAAUUAUUUCACAUAUUGUAUGUCAAGAAAGAGGAAAAAUUGAAUCAUUUGGAACAUUAGGUAUAAUUUAUGCUAUACUAUCAAUUGGACUAAUAGGAUUUAUUGUAUGAGCACAUCAUAUAUUUACAGUAGGAAUGGAUGUUGACACACGAGCAUAUUUUACAUCAGCAACAAUAAUUAUUGCUGUACCUACAGGAAUUAAGGUAUUUAGAUGAUUAGCUACAUUAUAUGGAACUAAAUUCAAGUUCAAUCCACCAUUAUUAUGAGCUCUAGGAUUUAUUUUCCUAUUUACAAUUGGUGGAUUAACAGGAUUAGUAUUAGCAAAUUCAUCACUUGAUAUUGUAUUACAUGAUACAUAUUAUGUUGUAGCCCACUUUCAUUAUGUAUUAUCUAUAGGAGCAGUAUUUGCAAUUAUAGGAGGUGUCAUUCAAUGAUAUCCACUAUUUACAGGAUUAACUAUAAAUAAUACAUGAUUAAAAAUCCAAUUUACAAUUAUAUUCAUUGGAGUAAAUUUAACAUUCUUUCCUCAACACUUCCUAGGAUUAGCAGGAAUACCUCGACGAUACUCUGACUACCCAGACGCAUAUACAUCAUGAAACGUAGUAUCAAGAAUUGGGUCUACAAUUUCUAUUGUAGGAAUCAUUAUAUUCAUUGUAAUUAUAUGAGAAAGAAUGAUUACAAACCGAGCAAUUAUAUUUAGAGCUAACAUAAGAAGAUCAACAGAAUGACUACAAAAUAACCCUCCUGCAGAACAUAGUUACUCAGAAUUACCAUUAAUCUCUAGAU
This is a long non-coding RNA of Schistocerca gregaria, 1517 nucleotides long. RefSeq lists it as uncharacterized. The transcript is spliced from 2 exons. The record is from RefSeq and is a predicted model, not a curated record. Lineage: Eukaryota; Metazoa; Arthropoda; Insecta; Orthoptera; Acrididae.